UGGCCGAGAGGUUAAGGCGUUGGACUCCAAAUCCAAUUUUGGACCUGUGCGGUUUCCCCGCACAGGUUCGAAUCCUGU
Molecule: transfer RNA, 78 nt
Filed under: Xiphophorus maculatus (southern platyfish)
Lineage: Eukaryota; Metazoa; Chordata; Actinopteri; Cyprinodontiformes; Poeciliidae
Rfam family: tRNA
About the family: Transfer RNA (tRNA) molecules are approximately 80 nucleotides in length. Their secondary structure includes four short double-helical elements and three loops (D, anti-codon, and T loops). Further hydrogen bonds mediate the characteristic L-shaped molecular structure. tRNAs have two regions of fundamental functional importance: the anti-codon, which is responsible for specific mRNA codon recognition, and the 3' end, to which the tRNAs corresponding amino acid is attached (by aminoacyl-tRNA synthetases). tRNAs cope with the degeneracy of the genetic code in two manners: having more than one tRNA (with a specific anti-codon) for a particular amino acid; and 'wobble' base-pairing, i.e. permitting non-standard base-pairing at the 3rd anti-codon position.
Source: Rfam by way of RNAcentral